GGGGCGGUGGCGAAAUGGCAGACGCAGCGGACUUAAAAUCCGCUGGGGUGAUCCCCGUGUGGGUUCGAGUCCCACCCGCCCUA
Molecule: transfer RNA, 83 nt
Filed under: bacterium
Lineage: Bacteria
Also listed under: 1 other name
Description: tRNA-Leu
Rfam family: tRNA
About the family: Transfer RNA (tRNA) molecules are approximately 80 nucleotides in length.
Source: RNAcentral